Molecule: long non-coding RNA, 23495 nt
Filed under: Vitis vinifera (wine grape)
Lineage: Eukaryota; Viridiplantae; Streptophyta; Magnoliopsida; Vitales; Vitaceae
Description: long non-coding RNA (VVIN_LNC005630)
Source: RNAcentral
AUAGGUACAACGUGGUUAAACGUUUCAAGUUUCCGAAAGUGGAAGGGAUGAGACCUGUGAGAUUGUUGGUAUCCGAGUAUAUCUCAACAAGGUUGGCGAGAUUUCCCAUUUCUGGAGGAAUGGAACCGGAAAGUUGAUUUUCAUAGAGAUACAAAGAGGCCAAGUUGCUCAAAUUACCCAAAGAAGCAGGAAUAGAACCCUCCAGUUGGUUGGUGUACAAAGCAAGCUCAUAAAGAGAUGACAACUGACCGAUUUCAUGAGGAAUUGAACCAUUGAGCUGAUUUUGAACCAGGUGCAGGACCUCAAGGUUAGUUAAUAGGCCAAUUUCCGGUGGAAUCCCUCCUGAGAACUGGUUGGUGGACAGAUCAAGGUAUUUGAGCUUGGAGAGGAGACCGAUUUGGGGUGGGAUAGGACCAGAGAGGUUGUUGAUGCAGACAUCAACGUAUGCAAGAUUGGGAAAAGAUGAAAAUGAGAAGGCUUGGAGCGUACCUCUUAAACCGGACUCUGUGAGGUUUAUUCUGAUGACACUCCCUGCAUGGUUGCAGGAUAUCCCAUACCAUUUGCAUGGACCGGUUGCCGUUCCAUGGUGGGUAGAAGAAUUGGUGGAGUUGUUAGGAUCCGGAUAAAGAGUCCACGAAAGGAGGAAAGAAUGGUUAUGGUUGUGAAGGGUAGAUUUCCAUUUGAGGAGAGCUUGUGUUUCUUCAUUAGAAUAAGAAGAAACAUGAUCUGAACAAAUUAACAUAACCAAGAGGAGUAGGGAAACAAGGGAGAGCAUUUUCUGUAAGGUUGAGAACGCCAUGUAUAGUUUUAGUUGAUAAAUUGCAUAUGCUGCUUCACAUCUUCUUUUAUACACAUUUGGUUCCUUUGGUCCUUUUAGGUGACUGUCUUGUUCACGCGUAUUCCCACAGGGAAGAAAGUUGCGUUUUAAUGUCAAGAUCAAGGUCCUUUGAAGCAUGGCUCCUUUUUCUUUCUUUUUUCCAUGGAUUGCACUGUACUAGUAUGGUGGUCUUCCUGUGUGAUUAUGGUGGUUGAAAUCUUCUCUUUUUGCAAAUUUGGAAAUUAAGUUUAGCAGGUGUUGUUGAACAAUAUUUUUAAUUGUUUUUAGUUGAUUUCACUUAUUUUUAAGGGUUGUUUUAAAAAAAAAAAAAUUAUAUAAAUAGGAAGAAUGAUUAAAAAUAAAAUAAUAGAUAUAAAAAUUAUUUUUAAAACAUAUUUAAGAACAUUAAAAAUAAGUUAAAAAUACCAAUUUCUUAAACAAAAUUUUAUUUUACAAAAUAUCAGAGAACAAUUUUAAUUUUUUUUUUCAAAAAUUGUUAUUCAUAAUUGUUUGUAAAAAUAUUCUAUUAAAUAGAGCCUAAUUCUUUUUGGGUCUUUACUUUCAUGUUUAUAAUCAUAAUGGUUUGCCCUUUAUUAACAAACUUGAAGGUUUGUUUUAGUUAAAUAAUUGCAAAAGAAAAUUUUAGUAUGUCAUAUUUAAUCACUUAAGUGGAUUUAUUAAAACUUAGGUGAUGUUUUUAAUAGUAUUUAAUAAUGUUAAGUAUUAAGUUGUUUAUUUUUUUUUAAUAUUUUAUUUCAAUUAAGUAUUAAAAAAUAUAGAAAAAUUAAUAUGUUGCUUUUGAUAUUAAGAAAAAGUCAAAUAUUUUGAUUUUUUUCUAUUUAAUGAAAAAAUUUAAGAAAUAAGUAAUAAGUUAACAAAAAGUGAAAAAAUAAAUAAUUUGAAAUCUAAAAGCAAAUUACUUUAAAAAAAAAAGUUAAAAAAAAUGUCAUCUUAAUAAUUAAUAUUUAGAAAAUUUUAAAGAAAGUGAAAAAGAAAAAAAUGAAGUGAAAAAAAUGGAUUUUAAGUUAAUAAUUUAUUUUUAUAUGGUUUUUAAAACUUAUUUUAAUUAUUUUCUUUUAUAUAUAAAAAUUAAAUUAUUUAAAAACAUUUAAAAAUUUAUAAAUAAUUUUAAUUAUAUUUACUAACUUUUUUUUAUGUAUUUUAAUCAAACAUUAGAAAAUACUUUUUUUAAAUAUCUUUUCGUCUCUCCUUUCUUAGAACUAAAGAUAAGAAUGAUAAUUAAAUAUGAUUUAAAUUUAAAUUAUAUUUAACUUGUUGACUUAACAUUUAUUAUCUAAUUUUUAAUUUUUAAGUAUUAAGAUUAUUUGUUCAUAUUACUUAAUUUUUUAAAAAUUAUUAACCUCAUAUUAUCAAGUAACAAGAUUAUUUGAGAGGUACAAGGAAGAUAAAGGGACAUGGGCUGUUCAGGUAAAAAAAAAAAAAUGAAAUUUAGAAAAAGUUAAUUUUUUUGAGCUGUUAUUCUAAGUUUUUUUUUUUUUUUAGGUUUUAUAGGUUUGAUAGGACUUUAUGAUUGGACUCCAUAAUUUCCCUUUGGUCCUUUUCAUUUUUGAAUUUCACUGAGUUUAGCCCACUCUAUUUAACCCAAUUUUUAAGGCCCAUUGAGUUUAUAUUGAAACCCAGGUCUACUUGAUAAUAUGAGGUUAAUAAUUUUAUACACACUCACUUUGUAAGAUUGAAUCCCAGCCAUUGAUUUUAUAUUGAAACCCUAACCCAGAGGUACUUUUAGAGUCUUUAGUAUGAUAAGAAUAGGAUAUAUAUAAUAUCAUUUGGUAGGAUAUGAUAGAUACUUAUAUUUUAGAAUAUAUUUUUUGAGAAAUAUGAUAUUUUUGAAUAUUAUGUAUUUACUAUAUAUUAUAUUAUAUUUAUAUUAUUUAUAAAAUAAAUAAAUAAAUUAUUUUUUAAAUAAUAGAUACUUAUAUUUUAAAAUAUAUUUUUUGAGAAAUAUGAUAUUUUUAAAUAUUAUCUCUAAAUAGUGUAAAGUAUUAUAUAUAUAUAUAUAUAUAUAUAUAUAUAUAUAUAUAUAUAUAUAUUUAUAAAAUGAAUUAUUUAAUUAAUUAAAAAUUAAUUUUUAAUUAUUUAAUAUUUAUUUAAAAUAAAUAUCAUAUUGAUCCAAGUGAAGCUCAUCCCUUGAAUAGUAAUUCCAAAAGUGCUACAGUCAGCAAGAAAUUGCAUGAUAUGCUCUUGCUUUGCUUCUCCUGUAGCUUUAGCCUUUUCACAGAUCAUCUGUCUAAGGUUUUCAAGAAGGUCCAAAUUUUUCAGCUUGAAAAAUGAAAAUCUGGAAAUUUGACAUUCUUGGCUUUCUUGAGAAAGUUUUGAAUCUUCAUUUGGUUUUGAAAGUUCUUUUUGAAAUUCAUUUUGAAAAUCUUUUGAAAAUGCAUCUUUGGAUCCUUUUGCUUUUUUCCUGCAAAUGAAAUUUUCAAGAUCUGUAUCCAUUGGUGUGCAAUGUAUAUCAGAACUUGAAGGGUUAGAAAAACUUUCUAAUUUAUCAUUUAACUGUUUAAAAUGGAAAGAUAAUGCAUUUAAAGCUUCCAACUUUUGAAUAUCACUUUUUGCAUUCCAGAGGUUGUCUAAAAUGCAUUUUUGUGAUCUGUCUAAACCUUCAAUAUCUUUAUGAAUUCGAAAUGACAUAUUACAUUUAGGGAAUACUGGAAGAGUAAAUUUCCCAAAUGUAAUUCUUUCUUGCUCCAUCUGUAAACAAAAUUCAAAUAUUAGUAUCUCUAUUGAAGAAUAAAACAAAUAUCUAAUGAUUUUGUCUUUAUCAUACCAAAUUUGAAAAUAUAUUGAGUUUAUGAGAGGAACAUAAUUUCUAAUAAUGAUGUUAAAAUGAGGUUUUGAAUAUUUUGAAAUCACAUUUAUUGACUUAUAUGAGCAUGCACAAAUACCAUCACAAUCUUUUUGAUUAUCUGAUUCUUCUUCUAGACUUGACUCGUCACUUGAUAUUUCUUGAGUUAUAAGGAUUUGAUUAUCUUCUUCUGAUUCAUAAUUUUCACUUGAUUCAUCAUUUUCUUUAUCAAUCAUUAAUCCUAUCAUUAGAUUUUUGAGUUUAUCACUUAUUUCUAAUGAAUUGAUUUUAUUUUCUAAUUGACAAUCUCUUGAAUAAUGACCUACUUUUCCACAUUUAUAACAAGUAGGUGUUUUCUUUUUUAAAUCUGAGGAUUGUUUUUAUCAGUGUUAUGAGUGAUUUCAACUGAAUCGGUGUCUACCAGGAUGAACUCAUAGAAUUGACGAGUUUUCAAAGGAUCAUUUGAAUUAAAGUUGACUCCUUGAGGAAAGAUGUAAGGAAGAAUUUUAGGAAUCUCUUCAAAAUUGAACUCUGGCUCAAUGAAAGCAAUUUCUAAUGUUUUGGGUUUUUUGACAUAUUGACUAUAGGAAUAUGAAGGAGAAGGAAACUGAGAAGGAGAAGGUAAUGUUGAAAUAGUGUUGGGGCUUGAUUUACUCUGAACAACAAUAUUUUUAGGGGAUGAUUUAGAAGCUUGAAUAAAACUUUUUGAAGGUUGAAGAGGAGGAAAAUCUGGACUCAAAACUUGAAAAGAAUUUGAUGUCUGCAAAGGAAAAGUAGGACGAACAUUUGAAAAGUUUGAAAUCAUAGCAUAUGAUGCUUUGGUUUUCUUGGAUGAUGAAGGAAGUUGAGGCCUAACGGGAGUACCCAUUAGGAUGGAGAAGGAUCCUUACCCUGCAAAAACUCCCGAGUAAGGAAGUCAGGAAGGGAAUUCAACUCUCCUUUGAUAAAUUCGAUUUCAAAAUCAAAGUUUGAAAGUAAAGCUUGCCAUCUUGCAAAAAUUUGUUUUGAAACCAAAUUUUUAACAUCUUUUUGUAAAAUAUCUUUUGCAGCUUUGCAAUCGAUUUUCAAAAGAAAUUUCUUGUUUAUCAAAUCACUUUGAAAUUUUGAAAUACACAAAACUAUUGAUAAAACUUCUUUUUUGACAGUUGAAUAAUUUAUUUGAGCGCCCAACCAGAUCCCUGAAUGAUAUCUAACUAUAUGCACUUGAUUGUUAUAUUCUUGCUUUAAUAUGCCUCCAUAACCUAAAUUAGAUGCAUCUGAUUCUACAAUGAGUAAUGCAUUUGGAUGAGGAAUGCUGAUGCAUGGUAAUCUUUUGACUCUUUGUUUAAUUUCUUUAACCAGACUGGUAUGAUGCUCAUUCCAUGCAGGUGCAUUUUUUGUAAGUCUUUUGUAUAAUGGUUCACAAAUGAUUCUCAAAUCUUUGAAGUAAUCAGAAACAUAAUUUAAACAUCCUAGAAAUCUUUGCAAUUGUUUUUUAUCUUUUAUUUCAUCAGGAAAUUUGUCAGCGAAUUCUAUUGAUCUUUGAAUCGGUUUUGUUUUUCCUUGAAAAAUUUCAUGACCUAAAAAUCUGAUUUUUGUUUGAAACAAUUUCAUUUUUGGAGCAGAACAAGCCAUUCCAUUUGCUUUAAUGACAUUAAAAAACUUUUUCAAAUGAAUAAAAUGUUUUUCUAAUGAAUCAGAAAAUACUAAAACAUCGUCAAUAUAUACAAUGAUGAACUGAAAAUGAGGAUUAAAAAUAUCAUUCAUAAUAUUUUGAAAUUCAGAAGGGGCAUUUUUGAGACCAAAAGGCAUGACAUUCCAUUCAUAAUGACCAAAAGGGACAGUAAAAGCAGUUUUGUACCUAUCUUCUUCUUUAAUUUGAACUUGCCAAAAUCCUGAUUUCAUAUCAAAUUUUGAAUAAAUGACAGAACUAUGAAGUCUUUUAAGUAAAUCUUGCUUAUUAGGAAUAGGGUAUCUUAUCCAUUGUAAUACUUUAAUUAAAGGUUUAUAAUUAAUGACUAAUCUAGGUGCUCCUCUUUCUAUCUCAGCAGCAUUUUGAACAUAAAAAGCAGCACAACUCCAAGGAGAUUUUGAGGGUCUAAUUAAUUUCUUCUUUAAUAAUGAAUCAAUUUCUUGUUUGCAAUAUUUCAAAAGUUUUUCAUUCAUUUGAAUCGGCCUAGCCUUAGUAGGAAUUUUGGACUCAUCAAAAUUUUGAAUGUAAGGCAAACUUAUCUCAUGUUUCUUUCUUGACCAAAAAGCAUUAGGAAGAUCAGAACAAAUUUCAUUUUGAAAAAGAUCUUGAAUCUCUUUAAUUUUCUUUUGAACUUUAUCUUCUAAGAGUUGUUCAUCUACCUUUUUAUAUUGAAUUUCUUUUGAUAGAUAAUUUAUAUGAGCUUUCUUUCUUUGAAUUAAAUUUAUGUUCUUAUUUAUUGAAUCACUUUGAACUUGAUGUAUUUCUUUUUUAGUUAAUGGAUAUAUAAAGGGAAAAAAUAUGGUAUUUCCUAAUAUUGUAGUUUUGACACCUUCAUCAUUUACUUGAAAAGGGUAAAGUAAGGUAAUAAAAGGAGUUCCUAAUAUUAGAGGUUCAUUCAUAUUUUGUACUAAUAUAAAUUGAGUUCUAAAACAAUAAUUAUCUUGACAUAUAUGAACAUUUUGAAGUUUAUAUUUUAUUUCUAAUUUUCCUUUAUUUGCAGCAAAAAGUUCUUGUCCUGUUUUUUCAUAAUAUUUAGUAGGAAUUAUUCCUUCUUGAAUACAAUUCAUAUCAGCUCCCGAGUCUAUUAAUGCUACUAUUUCUAUUUCAAAAUCUUCAACUAUAAUUUUUAUAUUUGUAUACCAUCUUUGAAAAUAUAUUUUUGAUAUUGUAUUUAUAAAUGAUUCUAUAGGAGUUAUUUUAUUAGGUAUUAUUAUUCCUGGUUCUUGNNNNNNNNNNNNNNNNNNNNNNNNNNNNNNNNNNNNNNNNNNNNNNNNNNNUAUUUGAAAAACCAAAGGAAAAAAGGAAUAGUCAUCUUAACUUGUUGCAUAUAUUUUUCAUAUUGUUUUCUUAAUGCAUUUCUAACUUGAGGAGGAAGUUGUUGAAAAUAAUUUCUUUUUGCCGUAUUUUCAGGAGAAAAAUAAUUUGCUUUAAUUAAUUCUACUUCAGGAACAAAAUGAUUUCUUUUAAUGUAUUUUUUCUAAUGAUAUUUAUGUUUAAAGGAGGUUUAUCUUGAAAGAAAAUUUUUGACUCAGACUCUUCUUCAAAAAGAGAAAUUUCAGGAACAAAGUUUGAACUAUUUUUUAGUUGAUUUUCUAUUUGAUUUAAUUCUUCAUUAAAUUUUGAAUUAUUAAAUUUUAUAUGAUGACUCCAUGAUGAUGCAGCUACUGAUGCAGAUGAUGAUGCAGUAGAUGCAUUGAAAAUCUCAUUAUCUUAUAUGAAGAACUUUCUAAAUUAUAUGCAGAAUUAUUUAAUGCAGAUGCAGAACUUUCAUGGGACCUAAGAGAUCUGGAAGAACUAUUUCUACUUAAUUCCCUAAUAAUAUUACUCAUUGUCACAGAAAAUAAUCACAAUUUUAUCCUUAAUCAAUUCAGAUAAUUUCCUGAACAGGGACCACCACAAGCGGAUCAACACGGGACUUACGCUCCUUCUGCCCUUAAACACCGCUUAUCACAGGCUGACCAAACCGUUCACAGGAAAUUCAACCCGAACUAAGUCAGGACUAAAUCUGCGAUUAAUCACUGUUCCAACUCGUAACAUCACUCGGUUCUCAAGCAGAAAAUGGCUCUGAUACCAUUUGCACCCAGGACAUACAACAGUUCGUGCAUGCAAUAAUUAAGUAAUAAUUAAGCAAUAAUUAGCAAUAAUUAAAUCUGUCUAAUUAUCUCCAAGCAUAAAAACUGAAAUAUUUAAUGUCUAAUACUGUCUAAUUUAUUGCAGAAAUUUAAGCAUAAUAAAACAAAUAUUUGAAUCUGAAAAUAUUGUUUAUUGAAAAUAUACCUUGAUUACAGAGAGCUGAUGACUACAGGUUGUUGACAGCAGAGGAAUGACUCUAAUUCAAAAAGAAAAUUACAAAAGAAAAUUUUUGAACUCUCAGAAAUUUUUUGAAACUAUCUCUUGGCUGUUGGAACUCUCCCAACUCUUGGAACUCUUGAACCCUUGCCGACCUCUCACCCUAGCCGACCUCUGCCUGAUGAAGAAGGUUGAAGCUCCUUAUAUAGGUGAGGAUUCGGACUUUAGAUGAAUCUUCAAUCUUGAAAGUUUUGGAAUUUCAUCACAUGUAGGCCAGGUGGAGCAUUCUGCAGAAGAAAGAGUGAGGGAAGAUUUCAAAAUAUUCAAAACCUCAUUUUAACAUCAUUAUUAGAAAUUAUGUUCCUCUCAUAAACUCAAUAUAUUUUCAAAUUUGGUAUGAUAAAGACAAAAUCAUUAGAUAUUUGUUUUAUUCUUCAAUAGAGAUACUAAUAUUUGAAUUUUGUUUACAGAUGGAGCAAGAAAGAAUUACAUUUGGGAAAUUUACUCUUCCAGUAUUCCCUAAAUGUAAUAUGUCAUUUCGAAUUCAUAAAGAUAUUGAAGGUUUAGACAGAUCACAAAAAUGCAUUUUAGACAACCUCUGGAAUGCAAAAAGUGAUAUUCAAAAGUUGGAAGCUUUAAAUGCAUUAUCUUUCCAUUUUAAACAGUUAAAUGAUAAAUUAGAAAGUUUUUCUAACCCUUCAAGUUCUGAUAUACAUUGCACACCAAUGGAUACAGAUCUUGAAAAUUUCAUUUGCAGGAAAAAAGCAAAAGGAUCCAAAGAUGCAUUUUCAAAAGAUUUUCAAAAUGAAUUUCAAAAAGAACUUUCAAAACCAAAUGAAGAUUCAAAACUUUCUCAAGAAAGCCAAGAAUGUCAAAUUUCCAGAUUUUCAUUUUUCAAGCUGAAAAAUUUGGACCUUCUUGAAAACCUUAGACAGAUGAUCUGUGAAAAGGCUAAAGCUACAGGAGAAGCAAAGCAAGAGCAUAUCAUGCAAUUUCUUGCUGACUGUAGCACUUUUGGAAUUUCUAUUCAAGGGAUGAGCUUCACUUGGAUUUCUUGUUAUGACAAUACUUAUAAUAAUUGUCCAAAGACCGAUCCCUUGUGUAGAGAAAUUCCAUUAGAAAGGCAUGACUGUAAGUGUGCUCUUACUUACAGUAUAUGCAAAGCCAACAUUAACCUAGACAGUUAUAAACCAAUAGUCAGUCAAUAGAGUUAACUCCAUCCCUCCUCAUGGACUAUGGAGUUCUUUAUCAAUUGAUUUUCUCUCAUCCUGAUCAAACUGAUAAAUUUGGAAGAAAAUUAGUUGUUUGUGUUUUAAAUGCAUUCAUCAAUGAUUUCAAAUCUGUCGAACUCAUCAUAGAAAGUAAACCUCCUGAAUGGUCGAAUGAUGGAGGAGUCUACCCUGCUCAACAUCUCAUUUUACUCAAAGCCAAUCAGAGAAAACAUCAGCUGUUUGGUACAGAGGACCCUUGGCCCUGUACUAAAUCCAGUCUCAAAAAACAAAUCAGACAUUGGAGAUCAAGAAUGAUUGCAAGAGACCUUGAUUCCGAGAUUUAUAGUUCUUCUAACUAUAAUCUCAUUGCUGAAGAUAAUAUUCAAAAAAUCAUCUUUGCAAAUAACUUUUAUGAAGUCCCUCUUUUGUUUCAAACUCAAUUUACUUAUCUUGUUGAUAAGUAUAAAAGAGAAUAUGUCCUUGAAGAAGAAGCCAGAAAAACUUUUGAGAAAUAUCUCUUAGAAAUGCUCAGCUAAGAGAUAUCAAGAAUCAAGAAUCUUUUGUACAUCUGUAAAGUAGCUCUCUUAUGAUUAUCCAGUAAAAAAAAAAAAAAAAAAAAAAAAAAAAAGAACAGUAUAUGAAGUCUGAAGAAGUGCACAGUGCACAGUUUGUAAGUAAAAAAAAAAAGUGAAUAGUGUUUUGUGAAUAGUAAAUCCGUCCUUUAAAGUAAAAAGCAAGAUGACUCAUUACCCAUGUGACCAAAUGAAGAAGAAGAAAGCAAAUUUACCUCCUGCAUACACGUGGAAGACAUCAAAGGCAUAAUGCCUUCUUGAAAGCCCGAAGCCUUUGCUAUAAAUAGGGCUCAAAGGCUUCCUCCCAAGGCAGAGGUCGGCAAGGGUUCAAGAGCUUGGUAGAGAGUUCCAAGAGAGAUAGUUUCAAGAGUGAAAAAAUUUGAGAGUUCAAAAUUUCUGAGAGUUCAAAAAUAUUUUCUUGUAAUUUUCUUUUUGAGUUAGAGUCAUUCCUCUGCUGUCAACAACCUGUAGUCAUCAACUCUCUGUAUUGAGGUAUAUUUUCAAUAAACAAUAUUUUAUUCAAAUAUUUGUGUUAUUAUGCUUAAAUUUCUGCAAUAAAUUAGACAGUAUUAGACAUUAAAUAUUUCUGUUUUUAUGCUUGGAGAUAAUUAGACAGAUUUAAUUAUUGCUAAUUAUUGCUUAAUUAUUACUUAAUUAUUGCGUGCAUGAACUGUUGUAUGUCCUGGGUGCAAAUGGUAUCAGAGCCAUUUUCUGUUUGAGAACCGAGUGGUGUUACGAGUUGGAACAGUGAUUAAUCGCACAUUUAGUCCUGACUUAGUUCGGGUUGAAUUUCCUAUGAACGGUUUGGUCAGCCUGUGAUAAGCGGUGUUUAAGGGCAGAAGGAGCGUAAGUCCCGUGUUGAUCCGCUUGUGGUGGUCCCUGUUCAGGAAAUUAUCUGAAUUGAUUAAGGAUAAAAUUGUGAUUAUUUUCUGUGACAAUGAGUAAUAUUAUUAGGGAAUUAAGUAGAAAUAGUUCUUCCAGAUCUCUUAGGUCCCAUGAAAGUUCUGCAUCUGCAUUAAAUAAUUCUGCAUAUAAUUUAAAAAGUUCUUCAUAUAAGAUAAUGAGAUUUUCAAUGCAUCUACUGCAUCAUCAUCUGCAUCAGUAGCUGCAUCAUCAUGGAGUCAUCAUAUAAAAUUUAAUAAUUCAAAAUUUAAUGAAGAAUUAAAUCAAAUAGAAAAUCAACUAAAAAAUAGUUCAAACUUUGUUCCUGAAAUUUCUCUUUUUGAAGAAGAGUCUGAGUCAAAAAUUUUCUUUCAAGAUAAACCUCCUUUAAACAUAAAUAUCAUUAGAAAAAAAUACAUUAAAAGAAAUCAUUUUGUUCCUGAAGUAGAAUUAAUUAAAGCAAAUUAUUUUUCUCCUGAAAAUACGGCAAAAAGAAAUUAUUUUCAACAACUUCCUCCUCAAGUUAGAAAUGCAUUAAGAAAACAAUAUGAAAAAUAUAUGCAACAAGUUAAGAUGACUAUUCCUUUUUUCCUUUGGUUUUUCAAAUAUAGGAAACCCCUUAAAAGAAUUGCAACAUUAACUUCAAGAAAAGCAAUAGAAAAUUCUCCACAUAAUAAAAAAGAGUCAAGUAAAGAAUCAAAAGAAGAAUUAAGUGAAACAAAAUUUAAUAAAAUUUUGUUUUCUUCUGCCCCGGGUGAGGUGGAGGAAACAGAAACAAAAACAAAAACAUCAACAGAAACAUCAAAACCAACAAAGAUAGAAAAUCCAAAAGAAAUCAAAAAGAUAAAUGUAAUAUCGUCAAAAGUAGAUAAGCAAAUAUUUUUUGAUGUUGUAGACAAAAUUCAAGAUAAAGAAAUACAAAGAAAUUAUUUACAAAAUUUAAAAAAUUUAAUUCUCACUGAAAAUCCAAAUAAAACUCAAGACAUCAAACCUAAUCAAUACUCAAUGGAUGAAAUUUAUAAUAGAUUCAAAAAGACUCAAAGGCCAAUAACUAUUAAAGACUUGGAAGAAGAAAUAAAAGAAAUAAAAAGUCAAAUAAAUCAAUUAAAAUUAGAUAAUGAACAAAUAAAAUUAGAAAAUGAAAUAAUAAAACAAGAAAAUGAUCAAAUAAAACAAGAGAAUGAACAAAUUAGAAACGUAAUACAAUAUAAACAAGAUUUAGCCGAAACUUCUGAAAACCAAGAACCAGGAAUAAUAAUACCUAAUAAAAUAACUCCUAUAGAAUCAUUUAUAAAUACAAUAUCAAAAAUAUAUUUUCAAAGAUGGUAUACAAAUAUAAAAAUUAUAGUUGAAGAUUUUGAAAUAGAAAUAGUAGCAUUAAUAGACUCAGGAGCUGAUAUGAAUUGUAUUCAAGAAGGAAUAAUUCCUACUAAAUAUUAUGAAAAAACAGGACAAGAACUUUUUGCUGCAAAUAAAGGAAAAUUAGAAAUAAAAUAUAAACUUCAAAAUGUUCAUAUAUGUCAAGAUAAUUAUUGUUUUAGAACUCAAUUUAUAUUAGUACAAAAUAUGAAUGAACCUCUAAUAUUAGGAACUCCUUUUAUUACCUUACUUUACCCUUUUCAAGUAAAUGAUGAAGGUGUCAAAACUACAAUAUUAGGAAAUACCAUAUUUUUUCCCUUUAUAUAUCCAUUAACUAAAAAAGAAAUACAUCAAGUUCAAAGUGAUUCAAUAAAUAAGAACAUAAAUUUAAUUCAAAGAAAGAAAGCUCAUAUAAAUUAUCUAUCAAAAGAAAUUCAAUAUAAAACUUGUUCUACAAUUUAUAAUUUAAUAGUAAAUUUUAAUUUUAUAAUUAAACUAUUUAAGAAUAAUAAAUAAAAAUAUUAUAUCAUACAAUUAAAUAUACUAAGCAAUUUGUAUUUUACUAUAUAUUUUAUACUUAUUUUUCAGUCAAAUAAAUAAUACUGAAAUUAUUGUUAAUGGCAUUAAAUACAAAUUUAAUGGGAAACAGGAUCUCAUGCUUGUUAGGUUAUCCAUGGGGAAUAAAACAGCCUAAGGUCGAUCCUAAAAAUCCUAAACUUAGAACUUAGUUUAGGGAGAAUUUUGUUUUGAGCCUAGUUGGGCCAAAAAAAUUGACUAAAGAUCCAUAUAUCAUGCACAUUUAAACCCAAGACACCAAAUAAAGUGUAAAAAUUAAGUUUAUGGAUAUUAUCCUUCAUUAAUCUUUAAAAUAGCUUUAACCCCUAUAUAGACACAUAGUGAGUGUAAAUUUCAAAUUUUUUUUUUUUUUUGUGUUGUUUUCCCUUUUCUAUUCCCAAUUAAAUAUUACUCAUUUCUAACUUUUUUAUUUUUCUUUUUUAAAGAUAUUGAAUCUUUUUACUCUUAUUAUAAGUAAGAAUAAAAAAAUUUCAUAUAAAAUUUAAUGGAUAAUCAAUGAAUGAAAUUUAAUUCUUUUUAUUAUUUUUAUAUAAAAAUAGUAUUAAACAAGGUUUUCAAUUUUUAUUUUUAAAAAUAGUUUUCAUUUUUUAAUUAAAUGUUUUUUCAAAAAGAAAAUAUAAAAAAUAUAAAUCAUAUUACCAUUUUUUUAGAAAGUAUUUUUAAAAAUAGUUUUUGAAAGUAAUUUUUCUUUAUUUAUAAUUUAAAAUAGAAAAUAAAGCUAAUUUUCAAUUAUUUAUAAAAAAAAAGUUUUAAAAAACAAUGAAAAAUCCAAAUGGUUAAAAUAGAAUUAUUAUGGUUGAAUGAAUAGUGGUGCAAUAAAAACCAAAAAAUCUUAUGUGAAAGGUCAAUGAGUAUUUUGAUCUUUUGAUAUCAUAUAUCAUUUCUAUCAAUUAUGUAAGUUAUAUGAACCAAAUCUUAAUUUUUGGACAUAGUUGGACCUAAAACACAAUUGUCCCCUUAGUUAAUGUGCAUAGACCUGUUAUUGUCUCAAGGUGGGUAGAAGAAUUGGUGACAUUAUUUGGAAGAAUGAUCAAUAAAGACGAAGAUGACUUUGUUUUCUUUGGUUGACUUUGAAACAUUGGAGUAGAAUUUGUGUCUUUCUUAGAAUGAGAGAUGACAUGGUUAAAAUAACAGUACAUAGUUAGCAAGAUCAAGGAAACAAAGUUUAAGUUGGUGACUCCAUGGUUUCAGUUGAUGUGUGGCAAAUAAUGGGUCAAUUGUCCAUUUGUAAACAUAUGAGUUCACCAAACCUUGGACUUGGAAACUCUCCAACUAUCUCAUUACUGGAAGGAAGACGACGACUAGAGUUCUCUAUAUGUAGCUUUGUUAAGUUUGAUUCAUUCUUAUGGUCAAAGUCUAUGUCGCUUUACCUCAUUGGAAAAAAAAGAAAAAAAAAACAAAUCCUUGAAGAAUUGUUUGUCUAGAAUGAUUUGAACGUUUGUUGAGUGGUCUUGUCAUUGGAAGAUUAUUAGGGAAUGAAAAUGACUACCGUUUUUAUUUUUAUUUUUUAUUUUCAUUUUUAUAUAUAGCCUUCUUGAGUUUGAUUCACUCUUAAGGUCAAGGUCUUUCAAUUGAUUGUGUCUUGUGUGAUUUGAAUGCAUGUUAACUCUAGUGGUUGGGUGACAACUCCGAUCGCCUAUUCUUUAUUUCAUUUGGAAAAAAAUUGCAUUCAACAGUUUGAAUGCCUGUUGAGUCAAGUGGUUGCCUAGCAACUUGUACAGUGUAUAUUAUUUUACAUUCUAUCAACUCUAGGUUUUUUAAGACAACCAUCCAUCCAUUCUAGGUUCAAACUUCAAAGAAGCCUUUACAGCUUUAAGACAAUCACCCGAGAAUAUGAAACCAAAUAGAUAAAUACCUUUCAUGAUUAUGGACCAAAGCUACAUUAGGGUUAGGGAUUGACUUUAUACCAUUUAUAACAAUCCGUUUCUAAUAGUGUGUAUAUUAUUCGUUCUGGACCCAAAAAGAUCCUUACGGUUUUGAAAUGCGUUCAUAUAAUUAAGAGGAACUCAUAUUUAUUCAACGUUGAAACUUUCUUUGUUCUCAUAUGUGAGAUAUCUCAAUUGUUACGAGACAGGGACAAACAUGGUUUUGAGGGUUAGUCUUGUAAUCAUCUUUAUGUUACAGAUCCUAUAUUCCUAUUUACAUUUAAUUUUUUGUAGACCUGAUCCAUGAGAACGGAGACUUGGAGAAGUCUUCCACUCCCUUUGAAAGGGCUAUUAUUAGGUAAAACAAUGGUAAGACUUUUUGUCUGUGAAGACUUGACUUGGGCUUGUUCCAGACUGGUGAAGGCACUUUCCCCUACUUCACUUUGGAAAAAAUGCACUUUUGGGUUUUGAGUUGACUGCAUUGACUUGAUACAAGUUUACAAUAAUGGCCGAGCUGAUCAAACUUACAAUUAUUAUGCAGUUUUGUUGUUGCCAAAACUUGUUACAUAUACUGGGGAUGAAGAUAACUUGUAAUCCUUUUGUUUUAUGAUAUCAGAAGUUUUUGUUUAGGCCCUUGAUAUCCAUCUUAGGCUUAAUUUUGGUGCUAUGUAUUCUUGAAAACGAAGCUGAUUGUGACUACCAUAUAUUUAGUGGAUGGCCUUGUUUUUGUUGCAUGUAUCAGUUUUGGUGAAAAUUUUGGACUCUCACUUGUAGAAUUAGAAAGGAAGCUUCGGGGAUUUGACAUUUCUUUUCUCUGGUUUGAUCAAUCCAUUUGAGCUCACCAAAUUUGACCCUUUUUAAUGGGUCACACCUCAGCUCUUCAUAAGUUUAUGGUAGGCCAAGAUUUGCCUUGGUUCCCUUUACUUUCGAGUAUAUAUGUAGCCUUUUUUUUUUUAGUAUGAAAAUCACAAUAGCUUCAUAAUAAAGCUAACUAGGGUAAAGUUUUUACCUUAAAAUAAAUAAAAAAUUGUUCUCAUUAGCAGUUUUUUGCAGGACAAGAAAAAUAUCGAAGAAAACAGGUGUUAUACGAGAAAACGGAAACUUGAACAUGAAUAAACCAUUAAUCUCAUUGUUUAACAAUGCUAUAUUUAGAACAUCAAAUCUUUGAUGUUCAAGCCUUCAAUCCUCUUAUCCUUGCACAUUGUCAGCCGGUACCCGAGGUGCAAUUUUCUAUUCACCCACAAAAAGUCUUUUUGAUAUUUUUACAACUUUAUCAAUUACUCGAACGAAAUUUAGUUAUGGAAAAGAACUGGGACUUUUGAAGAUGCAUUACAUUGUGUUGAAGAUGCAGGAGGUUCGAAACCAUGCAUUAUUGGUAGACUAGGUAGAGUUCCACUCAAAUUAUUUCUUACCUUGCUAAAUUCUCUGUGACAACAUCUGAGAAAUAAUCUCCAUGGUUGGCCUGGAUUGUGGAUUGGCAUUUAAACAUGCAGUUGCGAGCUUUAUGAUAGCUACCACUUCCCCUUCGUCUUGGGGUGUGAGAGGUGGGAGUCGCGGGUCCAACAUGUCUUUCAACACUAUGUUCUUCUCUGGGGAAACUGAUAUAGACAAGAUUUGAUCUCCAGGAUGUCUUCCUUUGAUAACUUCCAGUGCUAUCACUCCAAAGCUAUAGACAUCGGUUUUUUCUGUGACCUUCAUUGUAUAAGCAUGCUCUGCAAAAUUAGAAGAUAAAUAUUACAUCGUGAGCAUGUUAGAUUUCUUUGUUAGUUGAGGAGUGAAGUGUACCUGGUGCAACGUAUCCGACUGUGCCUGCAAGUUUGCUCUGAUUUGAUGAGUCUACCUUAAGAAGCUUGGCAGUGCCCAAGUUAGAAAUAUGAGCCUCAUAUUGAGAAUCCAGCAGAAUAUUGUUGCUCGAUAUAUCCCGAUGAACAAUCGGGGGUGAGCAAUCAUGGUGCAUGUAAGACAAAGCGUGAGCCACUCCUUUGAUGAUCUUGACCCUUGUAGCCCAACCCAAUUUUUUAGCUUCUUCUCUGCUCAAGAUUGUAGCCAAGCUACCUCUUUCAAGGUACUCAUAGACCAAAAAGGAGUGUCGUGGAUAUGAACAGAAACCAAGAAGUCUCACAAUGUUUCGAUGCUUGAUCUCUGUCAUUGCCCUUACUUUAUUCAAGAAAUCCUUUUGAUUUGCCAUAUCCAUGUCGGAUGGGUGAAGCUUCUUCACAGCUACUAUAUUACCUGAUGGCAGCUCUGCUUUGUAAACGCUUCCAUGCCCUCCCUUUCCGAUGCAAUACAUGGGAUCAAAGUCCUUGGUGGCCUUUAUAAUCUCUUCAUACAUUGCUCUUCCAUCAAAAGUUGAUAUUGAGAGGAGAUUAUUCUGUACAUCACCUUCUUCGAUUUCUGGAGUUCUCUCUCUUCUUUCAGCAAUCAAGAAAAUCCCAAUGAAAGCAGAAAGAAGUACAAGUGCUCCCAAAAGAGGGAAUAUGAUAAUAAACACAACUUUGUGGCUCUUUUUGACAGGUUGUUGGUCUACUCCAAAACCAUAUUUGCAAGGUUGCAACCCUUUAACAUUGCCGCACAAAUCUUUGUUCCCCUUUAGCACCUCAAUGGUAGCAUUUCGAAAUGCAUUGCUGUGAGGAAUGGGACCCUGCAACUGAUUGUAGGAAAUGUCAACAUACGACAAGGCAGGCAUGUCCUCAAAAGCCUUUGGGAUGAAACCACAAAGGUUGUUAUGGGAGAGAUCAAGCAUCUCCAAACUCUCCAAACCUUGGAUCUGUGCCGGGAUGCCACCUGUAAGCAAGUUGUGACUCAGAUCUAGCUGGGAGAGGUGACUCAGCUUACCCAUCUGAACCGGAAUUCCGUGGCUGAGUUUGUUAUUGCUCAGGUUCAAGUAAUGCAAGUCCAAGCAGUCGCCCAAGUGCUCUGGUAUUGACCCAUUCAAUCUAUUGGCUGAAAGGUCUAGAUACUCAAGGUGGGACAGCGAUCCAAGUUCAGGAGGAAUACUCCCGGAAAGUUGGUUGUCAUUCAAUAUCAGCCCCAACAGAGAAGUCAAACUUCCCAUUUUCUUUGGAAUUUCCCCAACCAAAUGAUUUGAAGAAAGAUCAAGCAAGAUUAGAUUAGUUGAGAUUCCAAAAUCUUCUGGUAUGCUCCCUGUAAUAUUGUUCCCGGCAAUCUCCAGCCUUUGUAGUUGUGGGCAUCUUCCCCAGUUAUGAGAGAGUUCACCAUGAAACCUGUUGUAGCUCAAAUCGAUGAAUUCCAGGUUUGGACAGUCACCAACUACCUCAGAUACAUUUCCAGUGAGUCGGUUUCCCUGGAACAGAGCUCUGGUUAAGUUUCUGCAAUUUUUCAAGCUUUUGGGGAUGGGACCACUGAGAUGGUUGUCACUCACUGUAAAGCGCUCCAGAGAUCCACCUUGGCAAAUGCCUUCCGGUAAAGAGCCAAACAGCUGGUUUGUGUCGAUUUCUAGCACAACCAACUUAUGAAGUUUCCCAAUUUCUUGAGGAAAGUAACCAGAAAGACGGUUAUCACGGAGGAAUAAAAUUUCUAAGUUGGUUAGAUUACCCAGUGAAGUAGGAAUGGAACCAUUGAGUUGAUUUUCUGAAAGUUCUAGAUCAACAAGAGACUUCAAGUUACCUAUUUCUUGAGGAAUGGGACCGGAAAGUUGAUUGGCAUAGAGAUGCAGGAGGGUUAGGCCACUCAGAUCACAUAAUGACACAGGGAUUGGGCCUGAAAGAUUGUUUCCGUAGAGGCUUAGACCUUGCAGGGAUUUCAAAUUUCCUAUUUCUGGUGGGAUAGGCCCAGAGAGGCUAUUGUUGAACAAGUACAACACGGUUAAAUGUUUCAAAUUUCCAAAAGUGGAAGGGAUGGGACCUGUGAGAUUGUUGGUAUCCGAGUAUAGCUGAACAAGGUUGGUGAGAUUUCCCAUUUCUGGAGGAAUGGAACCCGAAAGUUGAUUUUCAUAGAGAUACAAAGAGGCCAAGUUGCUCAAAUUACCCAAAGAAGCAGGAAUAGAACCCUCCAGUUGGUUGGUGUACAAAGCAAGCUCAUAAAGAGACGUCAACUGACCUAUUUCAUGAGGAAUUGAACCAUUCAACUGAUUUUGAACCAGGUGUAAGACCUCAAGAUUAGUUAAUAGGCCGAUCUCGGGCGGAAUCCCUCCUGAGAACUGGUUGAUAGAGAGAUCAAGGUAUUUGAGCUUGGAGAGGAGACCGAUUUGGGGUGGGAUAGGACCAGAGAGGUUGUUCAUGCUGAUAUCAACAUACGCAAGAUUGGGAAAAGAUGAGAAUGAGAAGGCUUGGAGCGUACCUCCUAAACCCGACUCUGUGAGGUUUAUUCUGAUGACGCUCCCUGCAUGGUUGCAGGAUAUUCCGUACCAUUUGCAUGGACUGACUUCUGUUCCAAGGUGGGUAGAAGAAUUGGUGAAGUUGUUAGGAUAAAGAGUCCACGAAAGGAGGGAAGAAUGGUUAUGGUUGUGAAGGGUAGCUUUCCAUUUGAGGAGAGCUUGUGUUUCUUCAUUAGAAUAAGAAGAAACAUGGUCUGAAGAAAUCAACAUAACCAAGAGGAGCAAGGAAACAAGGGAGAGCAUUUUCUGUAAGGUUGAGGGUGCCAUGGUUUUGGUUGAUGAAUUGCAUAUGCUGCUUCACAACUUCAUUUAUACACAUUUGGUUCCUUUGUUCGUCCCACUCGGAAACUUCCUUGUUCACACUUCACACCAAUUAAAAUUCAGCCCUUUAAUGUCAAGAUUGAGGUCUUUUAAAGCAUGGCUCCCUUUUUCUUUCUUUUUGCCUGGGGUUCCCUUUCUACUAGCAUGGUGGUCUUCCUAUAUCUUUGUGGUCGUCGAAGUCUUCUCCGGUCUCUUUCAAAAUGAAUAAUGACGAUGAAGGUUGGUUGGAGACUAACGCUCUCUUUGACAAUUAUUUUGGACAACAGAGCAGGUUUAGUAAUAAAAAAAUUAUUUUUUAUUUUUUAUUCUUAAACACAGAAAAUGAUAUGUUUUUUAGGGACUUUUUUUUUAAUUAUCAUCAAUUAUUUUGAUUUGUUUUUUAAAAAUUAUUUUAAAAAAUAACUAUAAAAAAUGGAGAAUAAUUAAAAAAAAUGGACAAAAAUUUUAUUUUUAAAAAUAUUUAAAAACAUUAAAUAUGUGAUAAAAAUAUUUAAGAUUUCUAAAUACAUUUUUAUUUUACCAUUCAUCAAAGAACUGCCGUUAAAAACUGUUAUAAAAAAAUAGUUGUUAAAGAUAACUUAAUUUUAUUUGAAUCUUUGUUUUUAUCUUUACGAUGAUCUUCUUCUUUUACUCUUUGUAAAAGAAAACCGAACUUGAAAAUUUGUUUCAGUUAAGUAAUUAUAAAAGAAAAUUUUAGUCUACUUAAUAACUAAGUUGAUUUAUUAAAACUUAAUAAUUAAUAUUUACCCUAGGCUUGGUUUUUAGAAAAUUUUAAAUGAAUUGAAUAUGAAAAAAAAAUGAAGUUUUAAAAAGAAAAAAACAAAAUUUAAGUUAAUAAAUUAUUUUUAUAUGUUUUUAAAUUUUAUUUGAAUGAUUUAUUUUUAUAUAAAGAAUAAAUAAUUUAAAAAUGCUUAAAUUUUUAAAUGAUUUUAAUUAUAUUUAAUUUAUUUAUUUUUAUGUAUUUUACAUUUUAAUAUUUAUUAUAAUAUGAAAUAUCAUAUGUUUAUUAUUAUUUGAAAUUGCUUUACAAUUUAUAAUUUAAUAGGAAAUUUUAAUUUAUUUAUUGAUAGUAUUCAUAAUUAAACUAUUUAAAACUUAUAAAUAAAAAAUAGUAUAUUAUAUAAUUAAAACAAUUUGUAUAGAUUAAAAUACUGUAGUAAUGAUAUAUAUUAGUAUUUUACUGUGUAUUUUAUACUUAUUUUUCAGUUAAUUUAAUUUUAAUUUUAAUUUUUAAUUUUUAAUUUUAAUUAAAACAAUUUAACUUUAAUUUUUUAAUUAUUAUUUUUUUAACUUUUAAGUAAUAUAAAAAAAAUUAAAGAAAAAUAAAAGGAAAUGGAUAAGAAAAGUAAAUCCGUGAUUCGGCCCAUUCCAGUCCACAGUUACCGCCGACGACACCGACGUCAGUCAACCGGCAACCGCGACGCCGCCUCAGCAGCGCAGUCACUGCCGCCAUCUCCGGAAACUCCACAGCACCACUCCUUUCCACCCAGAUGCCACGCGCCGUCGCUCACGGCAUCUCCGCCCGUGGCCUUGCCAUUCAAGGCGCCGCUCCGUCGCCGACUCCUUCCACACCCACCCCAUUCACUAACGCCAAGACCACCAUGGUCUCGGCCACUGCCUCUGGUAGCCAACAUGGCUGCCAUCUUCAUCCUCCAUCUCACCUCUCCGCCGUACCCCACUACCAAUCUCCUUCGGCCUCCAUGAUCCCCAUCUCCGCCGCUGAACCCAUCACCCUACCGGCGCCAACAUCUUUUCUUCUUUAUUUAUUUAUUUAUUUAUUCCAGUGCUGCUCAUAUAUUUUGAUAUGUAAAUAUUUAAUUUGUUAAUUAGAAAAUACAUGAGUAGCAGUCUUGGUAGAUGAAUGGAUGAAUUUUCUGCAUGAGUAGCAGAGAUUUAUCUACUUCUAUUCACACAAAACCACACUUUAUUUCUUUGGGCACAAAGCCACAAUUUCUAUGAGUACAAAUCACACCGGGUACUUGAUGUAGAAAGAAAGACUAAACAAACUCAAAAGGCAUUACAUAGUGCUGAAGAUGCAGGAGGUUCGAAACCAUGUGUUACGGUAGACUAGGUAGAGUUCCCCACAAACUAAAUCUUACCUUACUACUUUCUCUGUGAUAACAUCUGAGAAACAGUCUGCAUGGUUGGCCUGGAUUGCGGGUUGGCUUUUAAGCAUUCAAUUGCUUGCUUUAGGAUAGCUAUCACUUCCCCCUCAUCCUGGGGUGUGAGAGGUGGGAGUCGGGGGUCCAACAUGUCUUCCAACGCUAUGUUAUCCUUCUCUGGGGAAACUGAUAGAGACAAGAUCUGAUCUCCAGGAUGUCUUCCUUUGAUAACUUCCAGUGCUAUUACUCCAAAGCUAAAGACAUCAGUUUUUUCGGUCACCUUCAUUGUAUAAGCAAGCUCUGCAAAAUUAAAAGAUAAAUAUUAUAUCGUGGACAUGUUUCAUACCUUGUUUAAUUCAAGAGUGAACCGUACCUGGUGCAAGAUAUCCGAAUGUGCCUGCAAGUAUGCUCUGAUUCGAUGAGUCUAGCUUUAGAAGCUUGGCAGUGCCGAAGUCAGAAAUAUGAGCUUCAUACUGAGAAUCCAGCAGAAUAUUGUUGCUUGAUACAUCCCGAUGAACAAUAGGGGGUGAGCAAUCAUGGUGCAUGUAAGCCAAAGCAUGAGCCACUCCUUUAAUGAUAUUGACCCUUGUAGCCCAACCCAAUUUCUUAGCUUCUUCUCUGCUCAAGAUUGUAGCCAGGCUACCUCUUUCAAGGUACUCGUAGACCAAAAACUUGUGUCGUGGAUGUGAACAGAAACCAAGAAGUUUCACUAUGUUUCGAUGCUUGAUUUCUGUUAGUGCCCUUAUUUCAUUUAAGAAAUCCUUUUGAUUUGCCAUCUCUGUGUCGGAUGGGUGAAGCUUCUUCACAGCUACUAUAUUACUUGAUGGCAGCUCUGCUUUGUAAACACUUCCAUGGCCUCCCUUUCCUAUGCAAUACAUGGGAUCAAAAUCCUUGGUGGCCUUUAUAAUCUCUUCAUACAUUGUUCUUCCAUCAAAAUUUGAUAUUGAAAAGAGAUCAUUCUGUACGUCACCUUCUUCGAUUUCUGGAGUUCUCUCUCUUCUUUCAGCAAUCAAGAAAAUCCCAAUGAAAGCAAAAAGAAGUACAAGUGCUCCCAAAAGAGGGAAUAUGAUAAUAAACACAACUUUGUGGCUCUUUUUGACAGGUUGUUGGUCUACUCCAAAACCAUAUUUGCAAGGUUGCAACCCUUUAACAUUGCCGCACAAAUCUUUGUUCCCCUUUAGCACCUCAAUGGUAGCAUUUCGAAAUGCAUUGCUGUGAGGAAUGGGACCCUGCAACUGAUUGUAGGAUAUGUCAACAUACGACAAGGCAGGCAUGUCCUCAAAAGCCUUUGGGAUGAAACCACAAAGGUUGUUAUGGGAGAGAUCAAGCAUCUCCAAGCUUUGCAAACCUUGGAUCUGUGGCGGGAUGCCACCUGCAAGCAAGUUGUGACUCAGAUCUAGCUGGGAGAGGUGACUCAGCUUACCCAUCUGAACCGGAAUUCCGUGGCUGAGUUUGUUAUUGCUCAGGUUCAAGUAAUGCAAGUCCAAGCAGUCGCCCAAGUGCUCUGGUAUUGACCCAUUCAAUCUAUUGGCUGAAAGGUCUAGAUACUCAAGGUGGGACAGCGAUCCAAGUUCAGGAGGAAUACUCCCGGAAAGUUGGUUGUCAUUCAAUAUGAGCCCCAACAGAGAAGUUAAACUUCCCAUUUUCUUUGGAAUUUCCCCAACCAAAUGAUUUGAAGAAAGAUCAAGCAAGGUUAGAUUAGUUGAGAUUCCAAAAUCUUCUGGUAUGCUCCCUGUAAUAUUGUUCCCGGCAAUCUCCAGCCUUUGUAGUUGUGGGCAUCUUCCCCAGUUAUGAGAGAGUUCACCAUGAAACCUGUUGUAGCUCAAAUCGAUGAAUUCCAGGUUUGGACAGUCACCAACUACCUCAGAUAUAUUUCCAGUGAGUCGGUUUCCCUGGAACAGAGCUCUGGUUAAGUUUCUGCAAUUUUUCAAGCUUUUGGGGAUGGGACCACUGAGAUGGUUGUCACUCACUGCAAAGCGCACCAGAGAUCCAGCUUGGCAAAUGCCUUCCGGUAAAGAGCCAAACAGCUGGUUUGUGUCGAUUUCUAGCACAACCAACUUAUGAAGUUUCCCAAUUUCUUGAGGAAUGUAACCAGAAAGUUGAUUAUCACGGAGGAAUAAAAUUUCUAAAUUGGUUAGAUUACCCAGUGAAGUAGGAAUGGAACCAUUGAGUUGAUUUUCAGAAAGUUCUAGAUCAACAAGAGACUUCAAGUUUCCUAUUUCUUGAGGAAUGGGACCGGAAAGUUGAUUGGCAUAGAGAUGCAGGAGGGUUAGGCCACUCAGAUCACAUAAUGACACAGGGAUUGGACCAGAAAGAUUGUUUUCGUAGAGGCUUAGCUCUUGCAGGGAUUUCAAAUUUCCUAUUUCUGGUGGGAUAGGCCCAGAGAGGCUAUUGUUGAACAAGUACAACACGGUUAAACGUUUCAAAUUUCCAAAAGUGGAAGGGAUGGGACCUGUGAGAUUGUUGUUAUUCGAGUAUAUCUCAACAAGGUUGGUGAGAUUUCCCAUUUCUGGAGGAAUGGAACCCGAAAGUUGAUUUUCAUAGAGAUACAAAGAGGCCAAGUUGCUCAAAUUACCCAAAGAAGCAGGAAUAGAACCCUCCAGUUGGUUGGUGUACAAAGCAAGCUCAUAAAGAGAUGCCAACUGACCUAUUUCAUGAGGAAUUGAACCAUUGAGCUGAUUUUGAACCAG